AACGAACGCUGGCGGCAUGCCUAACACAUGCGAGUCGAACGAGACCUUCGGGUCUAGUGGCGCACGGGUGCGUAACGCGUGGGAACCUGCCCUUAGGUUCGGAAUAACUCCCCGAAAGGGGUGCUAAUACCGGAUAAUGUCUUCGGACCAAAGAUUUAUCGCCUUUGGAUGGGCCCGCGUUGGAUUAGCUAGUUGGUAGGGUAAAAGCCUACCAAGGCGACGAUCCAUAGCUGGUCUGAGAGGAUGAUCAGCCACACUGGGACUGAGACACGGCCCAGACUCCUACGGGAGGCAGCAGUGGGGAAUAUUGGACAAUGGGCGAAAGCCUGAUCCAGCAAUGCCGCGUGAGUGAUGAAGGCCUUAGGGUUGUAAAGCUCUUUUACCCGGGAUGAUAAUGACAGUACCGGGAGAAUAAGCUCUGGCUAACUCCGUG
RNAcentral lists this ribosomal RNA (433 nucleotides) under uncultured bacterium. Its description in RNAcentral is "partial 16S ribosomal RNA". It matches the Rfam family "Bacterial small subunit ribosomal RNA", at positions 29 to 507 of the family's 1533-position model. The record is from RNAcentral.